This 492-nucleotide ribosomal RNA is filed under the name uncultured bacterium. RNAcentral's name for it is "partial 16S ribosomal RNA". It matches the Rfam family "Bacterial small subunit ribosomal RNA", at positions 29 to 507 of the family's 1533-position model. The record is from RNAcentral.
AGUGAACGCUGGCGGUAGGCCUAACACAUGCAAGUCGAACGGCAGCACAGUAAGAGCUUGCUCUUACGGGUGGCGAGUGGCGGACGGGUGAGGAAUACAUCGGAAUCUACUUUUUCGUGGGGGUUAACGUAGGGAAACUUACGCUAAUACCGCAUACGACCUACGGGUGAAAGCAGGGGAUCUUCGGACCUUUCGCGAUUGAAUGAGCCGAUGUCGGAUUAGCUAGUUGGCGGGGUAAAGGCCCACCAAGGCGACGAUCCGUAGCUGGUCUGAGAGGAUGAUCAGCCACACUGGAACUGGGACACGGUCCAGACUCCUACGGGAGGCAGCAGUGGGGAAUAUUGGACAAUGGGCGCAAGCCUGAUCCAGCCAUACCGCGUGGGUGAAGAAGGCCUUCGGGUUGUAAAGCCCUUUUGUUGGGAAAGAAAAGCAGCAGGUUAAUACCCCGCUGUUCUGACGGUACCCAAAGAAUAAGCACCGGCUAACUUCGUG